RNAcentral lists this ribosomal RNA (401 nucleotides) under uncultured prokaryote. Its description in RNAcentral is "bacterial SSU rRNA". It matches the Rfam family "Bacterial small subunit ribosomal RNA", at positions 355 to 774 of the family's 1533-position model. The record is from RNAcentral.
UGGGGAAUAUUGCACAAUGGGCGAAAGCCUGAUGCAGCAACGCCGCGUUAGCGAUGAAGGCCUUCGGGUCGUAAAGCUCUGUCCUCAAGGAAGAUAAUGACGGUACUUGAGGAGGAAGCCCCGGCUAACUACGUGCCAGCAGCCGCGGUAAUACGUAGGGGGCUAGCGUUAUCCGGAAUUACUGGGCGUAAAGGGUGCGUAGGUGGUUUCUUAAGUCAGAGGUGAAAGGCUACGGCUCAACCGUAGUAAGCCUUUGAAACUGGGAAACUUGAGUGCAGGAGAGGAGAGUGGAAUUCCUAGUGUAGCGGUGAAAUGCGUAGAUAUUAGGAGGAACACCGGUGGCGAAGGCGGGUCUCUGGGCCGUAACUGACGCUGAGGAGCGAAAGCAUGGGGAGCGAACA